UACGGGGGGAGCAAGCGUUGUUCGGAUUCAUUGGGCGUAAAGGGUGCGUAGGCGGCGCGGUAAGUCGGGUGUGAAAUCUUGGAGCUUAACUCCGAAACUGCAUUCGAUACUGCCGUGCUUGAGGACUGGAGAGGAGACUGGAAUUUACGGUGUAGCGGUGAAAUGCGUAGAUAUCGUAAGGAAGACCAGUGGCGAAGGCGGGUCUCUGGACAGUUCCUGACGCUGAGGCACGAAGGUCAGGGGAGCAAACGGG
This 253-nucleotide ribosomal RNA is filed under the name uncultured bacterium. RNAcentral describes it as "partial 16S ribosomal RNA". It matches the Rfam family "Bacterial small subunit ribosomal RNA", at positions 524 to 776 of the family's 1533-position model. The record is from RNAcentral.